Vulpes vulpes (red fox) is the source of this 94-nucleotide microRNA precursor. NCBI's taxonomy places the organism in Eukaryota, Metazoa, Chordata, Mammalia, Carnivora, Canidae. The record is from Ensembl.
GGGGACUGCCAGGUGACCCUGGAAAUCCAGAGUGGGUAAGGCCUGUCUGAUUGUGUCUAGGCGACCCACUCUUGGUUUCCAUGGUUGCCCUGGA